UCGCCGAAAGGUGAGGUAAUCCUCAAUGGUGUGGGAAGUACAUAUGUACAUCCCACUAAAGCUUUAGCGCUUCGGGAUGAGUCUGCGUCCUAUCAGCUUGUUGGUAGAGUAAAGGUCUACCAAGGCUAAGACGGGUAACUGGUCUGAGAGGAUGGUCAGUCACAGUGGCACUGAAACACGGGCCACACUCCUACGGGAGGCAGCAAUUAGGAAUCUUGCACAAUGGAGGAAACUCUGAUGCAGCGACACCGCGUGAAGGAUGAAGACCCUCGGGUUGUAAACUUCUUUUAUAAUCUAACAAGUUCUGAGUGGAGUAUGAAUAAGCACCUGCUAACUGCGUGCCAGAAGCAUCGGUGAAGCGUGGGGUGCGAGCGUUAUCCGGAUUUAUUGGGCGUAAAGAGAUGCGUAGGCGUUUUGGUAAGUCUUCUGUCAAAGCCUUCGGCCUAACCGAAGAAAGGCAGAGGAUACUAUCAGAAUUGAGACAGAGAGGGGGAAGUGGAAUUCCCGGUGGAGCGGUGAAAUGCGUUGAUAUCGGGAGGAACACCAGUGGCGAAGGCAACUUCCUGGCUCUGUUCUGACGCUGAGGCUCGAAAGCGUGGAGAGCAAAGCGGAUUAGAUACCCGUGUAGUCCAUGCUGUAAACGUUGGAUACU
Molecule: ribosomal RNA, 652 nt
Filed under: uncultured organism
Description: bacterial SSU rRNA
Rfam family: Bacterial small subunit ribosomal RNA
Source: RNAcentral